RNAcentral lists this ribosomal RNA (496 nucleotides) under uncultured bacterium. RNAcentral describes it as "partial 16S ribosomal RNA". It matches the Rfam family "Bacterial small subunit ribosomal RNA", at positions 28 to 506 of the family's 1533-position model. The record is from RNAcentral.
GAUGAACGCUGGCGGCGUGCCUAAUACAUGCAAGUCGAGCGAACAGACGAGGAGCUUACUCCUCUGACGUUAGCGGCGGACGGGUGAGUAACACGUGGAUAACCUACCUAUAAGACUGGGAUAACUUCGGGAAACCGGAGCUAAUACCGGAUAACAUGUUGAACCGCAUGGUUCAACAGUGAAAGACGGUCUUGCUGUCACUUAUAGAUGGAUCCGCGUCGCAUUAGCUAGUUGGUAAGGUAACGGCUUACCAAGGCAACGAUGCGUAGCCGACCUGAGAGGGUGAUCGGCCACACUGGAACUGAGGCACGGUCCAGACUCCUACGGGAGGCAGCAGUAGGGAAUCUUCCGCAAUGGGCGAAAGCCUGACGGAGCAACGCCGCGUGAGUGAAGAAGGUCUUCGGAUCGUAAAACUCUGUUAUUAGGGAAGAACAAAUGUGUAAGUAACUAUGCACGUCUUGACGGUACCUAAUCAGAAAGCCACGGCUAACUACGU